RNAcentral lists this ribosomal RNA (254 nucleotides) under uncultured bacterium. Its description in RNAcentral is "partial 16S ribosomal RNA". It matches the Rfam family "Bacterial small subunit ribosomal RNA", at positions 524 to 776 of the family's 1533-position model. The record is from RNAcentral.
UACGUAGGGGGCGAGCGUUGUCCGGAUUUAUUGGGCGUAAAGAGCGUGUAGGCGGCCAGGUAGGUCUGCUGUGAAAACUCGAGGCUCAACCUCGAGACGUCGGCGGAAACCAUCUGGCUAGAGUCCGGAAGAGGAGAGUGGAAUUCCUGGUGUAGCGGUGAAAUGCGCAGAUAUCAGGAAGAACACCCGUGGCGAAGGCGGCUCUCUGGGGACGGUACUGACGCUGAGACGCGAAAGCGUGGGGAGCGAACAGG